CCUACGGGAGGCAGCAGUGGGGAAUAUUGCGCAAUGGGCGAAAGCCUGACGCAGCGACGCAGCGUGAGGGAUGAAGGCCUUCGGGUUGUAAACCUCUUUCAGCGGGGACGAAGCGAAAGUGACGGUACCCGCAGAAGAAGCACCGGCUAACUACGUGCCAGCAGCCGCGGUAAUACGUAGGGUGCAAGCAUUGUCCGGAUUUAUUGGGCGUAAAGAGCUCGUAGGCGGCUUGUCACGUCGGGUGUGAAAACUUGGGGCUCAACCCCAAGCCUGCACUCGAUACGGGCUAGCUAGAGUGUUGCAGGGGAGACUGGAAUUCCUGGUGUAGCGGUGAAAUGCGCAGAUAUCAGGAGGAACACCGGUGGCGAAGGCGGGUCUCUGGGCAACUACUGACGCUGAGGAGCGAAAGCGUGGGGAGCGAACAGGAUUAGAUACCCUGGUAGUCCACGCCGUAAACGGUGGGCGCUAGGUGUGGGGAACCUUCCACGUUCUCUGUGCCGCNGCUACGACAUAGCGCCCGCCGUCGGGAGGUACGGCCGCGACGGACGUAAACGUACGAAAGGUAAGUUAGUUACGGCGUGAGACGUGCCGACGGCGACGACGAGGGAGGAGG
Molecule: ribosomal RNA, 613 nt
Filed under: uncultured bacterium
Lineage: Bacteria
Description: bacterial SSU rRNA
Rfam family: Bacterial small subunit ribosomal RNA (bases 1-522)
Source: RNAcentral